GUGGGCGGUGGUGGCGCUCGAGGGCGGCUGCAGGACCGCGGCCGGACGGUAGAGGCCUCCCUUCCGAGGCGGCGGCUCGGACGUCGAGCGCCGGGGCUCUGCUCGCCGGCUCGUCCUUCCCGGCGCGGUCCGGCACGGCCGGGCCCAGCGCGGCCCAUACCCGCCUGCUCUCCUCCCCCUGCAGGCGGCAGCGCCCGUUUUCUGAGGUCCUUUCAAGCACGGAUCGCAGUGCCCAGUGGUCAAUACCCUUACUUUUAUCCAGUGUCUGCUUCAUUUAAACUUAAUCAACUCCAUCAAUGAACUGGAACAGGGAAACGUCCCUGCGGUCCAAUUUCCUGUCCCUUACUUUACCUGGUCUUUUGCUGCCCCACUGCAACACCCUCGGGACUUCAGACAUCAAGAGGACGCCACAGAGGUUUCGCUAAGUGCCUGGUCUUCAGAGUGGGGACGAUCCCUUUCUCUCGCGAGCUUAGAGGUGCUGCCGUCCCCGCUGAACCGCUGGUGAAAGGUGCAGGUCGGCGGUGCUGGCCUCGGCGCGGGCUCCGGGACACGUGACCCGCGGACAGCGUUGGGAGAGAGCAACUACCAGGUCUCACGGGGGAGCGGGACUCCUCCGCCCCGGCAUCCACACCUUCCCGCCUGGCUGGCCUCGAGCUGGGCUGCCGACUUGGGAAGAUGGCGUCGGCUGAGACGCAGCCGCCCAGGGGUGGGGGUGCACUCCGCACCCAGGAGGCUGGGCGCGAGCGUGGGUGGGUCGUGUUUUCCCUCGCCACCAGUUAAUCCUGAGGCACAUCCCCCGGACUGGGAGAAACUGGCGCUGCGCCCUUCCUGCCCUUCGCUUCGGGUCCCCAGACCCUUCCCUGGGGGCGCCGACGCACGGUCCGAGAGCCUCGAGGUUCGUUCCUAGAGGCGGUAGGGACAGGCCGUGAGAGCGGGGACCAGGAGGCUCUGCCGAGACCCCAUCAUCAGACCCUGUUCCCCGACUCUUGGAAGAAACAUCCCAUGGCUAGAGCCAGGCUUCUCCUAGUCCGCAAGCGCGGGGUCGCCAGGGCAGGUGCGCGCUAGCUGCGCAGCUCCCUCCAGCCUCCAGAGCGGUGCAAGGGACCCGUUCCGCCCCGGCUUGCAGCGCCCAGCCCGGCCUUCACGCCAUGAGCGCCGGCGCCUCACGGGCUCGAAAGCUGGUGCUUCUAAUGUGAGGAAAAACACGGAAUGACAAGUGUGGGAAAGAGCAAGCACUAAAUUACUGUCAGAAAAAUAAACGGAGUAGCACAGUGGUGCUCAGUGAUUUACGGGGGCAAUUAGUCACCACCCCACGGCGCUGCUGAGGACAGCAAGGCAGCAGACAUGUCAGGCCCACGAGGAAGAAGAGACUUUGCGCUGCUCUCCAGACAACUUUUCAAACAACAAACAACAAGAAUCUGAGCAUAUUAGGUUCCAUGUCUUCAGUCUGGGUGCCUACCCUUCAUAUUUUUCUUCUACCUUAAUACAUAAAUGUAGCUUUCGCACAGUAUUAACGUGUUCUGUGUUAAAAAACCUCCAACUGCAGCUUUUUUCUCUCCCACUCUUCAAAGUAGGUUCUUUCCCAUCCCUUACAAAACAACAGAAAAAUCCCUUCUUGCUCCCCAAUUUUCCCGUAGUGUAUGCCUUCACUGUGUCUUAUUACUUCUUGCAUCUUGUUGCCUAUGUUCCACAUUUGUGCAGAGCCACUGGCUACUAAGAAGUUUUAUCUGAAACUCCUCCGCAGAAGUUUGAUAAGCUGGUAUGAGGAGGUGACAAGGAAUGCAAAACAGCAUCAAUGAAGACUGUUCACUUUUCCAUAUUUGUUAAUAUGUUCUUUAACACACUCUCUAUAUUUGCAUACAUAACAGCAAAAUAAACCUACUCAGGAAGAAUUAAUUGAUGUUCAUUCCCUAAUAAAUAUCCAUCGUUAGAAGAAACCAGAGUGGAAGGUCAGGAAGAACCUAGGAAACACAAAGAAUAUAUUGAUUAAAUACCACUUAGUGAAGUGAAUAAAUGAAAUUCAUCAAGAGUUUAGUACCCUUGAGUAGAUAUUUCUUAAGCAUUUUACUUAUUACUUAAGAAUUCCUUUUCUCAUUUGAUCUUGCUCUUGUUUUAGGCAAGAAUACCUGCUGUGUUAGAACUGUGUUCAAUGUGUAUGUAUACAGUUGGAGGAUGUGCUCCAACAUGCUCUACCUUUGGCCUCUAAUCUGGAGUCAUAAUGAACCAGAACCGUAUUGAUGAGCUUGGUACCCAGCCUGGUGCACCAUUCAACCGGACACUGGAUUUCUGCUAAAGAGGGCUACAAUGAAGAGACUCUUCAGAUUUUUCUUGCUAUUCUUCCAUUAUUCUGUUACUAGGCUUUGUUCCCCUUGAAUUUUAUAAGCAUACACUUUUAAAAGCAAGUAAUAACAGACACUAAGAUUUGACACAGAAUUGCAUAUUUGCACCUACAGAGGCACUGGUUUUCAACUAUUCUAACGAAAAGAGCAAACCCAACCUGGAAGGAAGGGAGCUGUGUUUCUCUGCAACACCACAGGCAUAUGAAAUUACUCACAUCUUAUGAAGCUACCGGGGAUAAUUCAAGGUGGAAAUUUAACCAAAAUUAUUUUUUAACCAUGAAUAAAGUGCAUUUAAAAGUGCAUCAAAUAUUUUUAGAUUUCUCUUUUUUCUAAAGUCACAUUGUAGUUUCUGGUAGAGGGACACACUGGGAGAACUGGCAUAUAAAAAAAUGAAAUUUGAGAUACAACAUUAUAAAAAAAAUCCCUAUGUGGGGGCAUGUUUUUAUAUACAUGUUAUUUUUGUUUAGAAAUUAUGAGCUAGGGAGGAAUGAAAAUGACCUUGGCUUUUUAUAAUUACUGAUAAAAAUGAUAGGCUUUAAUAUUUGGAUUCAAAUGUUUACUAAUCAUGCAACUUUCAUACAUGUCAAAGAAAGGAUUUAGACUGAAGAUUGAGGGGAUAUAGCUCAGUGGCACAAAUGCCUGCCUGGCAAGUACGGUCCUGAGUUUGAUUCCCAGUACCAAAAAAAAAAAAAAAAAAAUAGACUAAGGACUGAAAACAGUAGGCUGGGGCUUCCUGUGUGCUCCUGUGUCUGUGUUUGUUCAGAACGUUUAUGCAAUAUUCUGACUUGGCUGUAAUAUAUAAUUCUUAGCUAUUAUUUCAGCUGCAGCAAUAAUUUUUAGAUUAAUGAUUAUAAUUUUGGUAAGACAUGCAUGAAAAGUUAUAUGUUCAUGCUUGAAAGGAGGAUCAUUAAAUAUUCAUUAUUACCACUCAAAUUAGUUGUCAUGCUCUAUAUAACAGUUACCCAUUAUCAUUUCACUAGUUUAGAUUCAGCAAUAAGUGAACAGCCAUAUAUAUAUGGCUCAUAGCAGUAGAGGAAUUUUGGGAGGGCAGAUGAGGAAUAGGGAGAGAAAAGAUUUUAAAAUCCAUUUGACAUAUUUAUGUUGACAAAUUUAUUUAAAGGAGUUACUGUGUUGUCAAUAAACAUGUUUGUUGGAAUAUGAUUGUGGCUGGAUUUGCUUCUAGCUGUCUAAUUACUCUGUGAUUGUGAACAACAUUACAUCUCCAAGUAAUGAUGAAGGAAGAAUUAUAAAGGCUGAGAUAUUUUAGUCUUUUGCACAUGUCUAACCUUGCCAUGAAAAAGAGCUCCUUAUUUGUAUAAGCAGGCAUUGAAAUCUUGCUUUUUCAGUGAAGCUGCAUUGUAUAAUUUGUUUUCUCCAUCUGGCAACAAAUCUAUCCCUAAAAAAGGAAAG
Long non-coding RNA from Chinchilla lanigera (long-tailed chinchilla), 3749 nucleotides. RefSeq lists it as uncharacterized. The record is from RefSeq and is a predicted model, not a curated record. NCBI's taxonomy places the organism in Eukaryota, Metazoa, Chordata, Mammalia, Rodentia, Chinchillidae. The transcript has 5 exons.